GGGGAGUGAAAUAGAUCCUGAAACCGCAUGCAUACAAAACAGUGGGAGCCUCAGCAAUGGGGUGACUGCGUACCUUUUGUAUAAUGGGUCAGCGACUUACGUUCAGUAGCGAGCUUAACCGAAUAGGGGAGGCGUAGCGAAAGCGAGUCUGAAUAGGGCGAUUCAGUUGCUGGGCGUAGACCCGAAACCAGAUGAUCUAUCCAUGGCCAGGAUGAAGGUGCCGUAACAGGUACUGGAGGUCCGAACCCACUAAUGUUGAAAAUUAGGGGAUGAGCUGUGGAUAGGGGUGGAAGGCUAAACAAAUCUGGAAAUAGCUGGUUCUCCCCGAAAGCUAUUUAGGUAGCGCCUCAUGUAUCACCACCGGGGGUAGAGCACUGUAAUGGUUGGAGGGGUCAUUGCGAUCUACUCCGCCAUAGCAAACUCCGAAUACCGGUGAGUGCGAGCAUGGGAGACAGACAGUGGGUGCUAACGUCCAUUGUCAAGAGGGAAACAACCCAGACCGCCAGCUAAGGUCCCCAAGCCA
This 523-nucleotide ribosomal RNA is filed under the name uncultured bacterium. RNAcentral describes it as "bacterial LSU rRNA". It matches the Rfam family "Bacterial large subunit ribosomal RNA", at positions 533 to 1055 of the family's 2925-position model. The record is from RNAcentral.